Molecule: ribosomal RNA, 374 nt
Filed under: uncultured bacterium
Lineage: Bacteria
Description: bacterial SSU rRNA
Rfam family: Bacterial small subunit ribosomal RNA
Source: RNAcentral
UACGAAGGGGGCUAGCGUUGUUCGGAAUUACUGGGCGUAAAGCGUGCGCAGGCGGCCAUCCAAGUCAGUGGUGAAAGCCCGGAGCUCAACUCCGGAAUUGCCAUUGAAACUGUUUGGCUCGAGUACGAGAGAGGUGAGUGGAAUUCCCAGUGUAGAGGUGAAAUUCGUAGAUAUUGGGAAGAACACCGGUGGCGAAGGCGGCUCACUGGCUCGUAACUGACGCUCAUGCACGACAGCGUGGGGAUCAAACAGGAUUAGAUACCCUGGUAGUCCACGCCGUAAACGAUGAACGCUAGCCGUUGGCCAGCUUGCUGGUCAGUGGCGCAGCUAACGCAUUAAGCGUUCCGCCUGGGGAGUACGGCCGCAAGGUUGAA